RNAcentral lists this ribosomal RNA (419 nucleotides) under uncultured bacterium. RNAcentral's name for it is "bacterial SSU rRNA". It matches the Rfam family "Bacterial small subunit ribosomal RNA", at positions 32 to 429 of the family's 1533-position model. The record is from RNAcentral.
AAUCAACGCUGGCGGCGUGCCUCAGACAUGCAAGUCGAACGAGAAGUCCCCUUCGGGGGAUGGACAGUGGCGCACGGGUGAGUAACACGUGGGUAAUUUACCUUCGGGUGGGGAACGAACAGCCGGAAACGGCUGCUAAUACCGCAUAAUGCAGCGGCUCGACAUCGAGACAGUUGUUAAAGCGGGGGAUCCAAAAGACCUCGCGCCUGAAGAGAAGCCCGCGGCAGAUUAGCAGUUGGUAGGGUAAUGGCCUACCAAGGCGACGAUCUGUAACCGGCCUGAGAGGGGCGGUCGGGUCACACUGACACUGACAUACGGGUCAGACUCCUACGGGGAGGCAGCAGUCGGGAAUUUUGGGCAAUGGGCGCAAGCCUGACCCAGCAACGCCGCGUGAGGGAUGAAGUUUUUCGGAAUGUAAA